Molecule: ribosomal RNA, 497 nt
Filed under: uncultured bacterium
Lineage: Bacteria
Description: partial 16S ribosomal RNA
Rfam family: Bacterial small subunit ribosomal RNA
Source: RNAcentral
GAUGAACGCUGGCGGCGUGCCUAAUACAUGCAAGUCGAACGCACAGACAAGGAUCUUUCUCCUUUGCCGUUGACGGCCGACGGGGGGGUAACACCUGGGACACCUACCUUUAAGACUGGGAUUACUUCGUGAAACCAGAUCCAAUUACGGAUUAUAUCUUAAUCUCCCUUGAUCCAUAGUUAAAGACCGUUUUGCCGUCACUUAGAGAUGGAUCCGCGCCGCAUUAGCUAGUUGGUAAGGUAAAGGCUUACCAAGGCAACGAUGCAUAGCCGAGCUGAGAGGGUGAUCGGCCACACUGGAACUGAGACACGGUCCAGACUCCUACGGGAGGCAGCAGUAGGGAAUCUUCCGCAAUGGGCGAAAGCCUGAUGGAGCAACGCCGCGUGAGUGAUGAAGGUCUUCGGAUCGUAAAACACUGUUAUAAGGGAAGAACAACUGUGAAAGGAAAUAAGCACGGUUUGACGGUACCUAAUCAGAAAGCGACGGCUAACUACGUG